This 255-nucleotide ribosomal RNA is filed under the name uncultured bacterium. RNAcentral's name for it is "partial 16S ribosomal RNA". It matches the Rfam family "Bacterial small subunit ribosomal RNA", at positions 524 to 777 of the family's 1533-position model. The record is from RNAcentral.
UACGAAGGGGGGCUAGCGUUGCUCGGAAUUACUGGGCGUAAAGCGCACGUAGGCGGCUUUCUAAGUCGGGGGUGAAAUCCUGGAGCUCAACUCCAGAACUGCCUUCGAUACUGGAAGCUCGAGUCCGGGAGAGGUGAGUGGAACUGCGAGUGUAGAGGUGAAAUUUCGUAGAUAUUCGCAAGAACACCAGUGGCGAAGGCGGCUCACUGGCCCGGUACUGACGCUGAGGUGCGAAAGCGUGGGGAGCAAACGGGG